Molecule: ribosomal RNA, 253 nt
Filed under: uncultured bacterium
Lineage: Bacteria
Description: partial 16S ribosomal RNA
Rfam family: Bacterial small subunit ribosomal RNA
Source: RNAcentral
UACAGAGGUCUCAAGCGUUGUUCGGAUUCAUUGGGCGUAAAGGGUGCGUAGGUGGCGCGGUAAGUCGGGUGUGAAAUCUCGGAGCUUAACUCCGAAAUUGCAUUCGAUACUGCCGUGCUCGAGGACUGGAGAGGAGACUGGAAUUCAUGGUGUAGCAGUGAAAUGCGUAGAGAUCAUGAGGAAGACCAGUGGCGAAGGCGGGUCUCUGGACAGUUCCUGACGCUGAGGCACGAAGGCCAGGGGAGCAAACGGG